UAUCGACGGCGGUGUUUGGCACCUCGAUGUCGGCUCAUCACAUCCUGGGGCUGAAGUAGGUCCCAAGGGUAUGGCUGUUCGCCAUUUAAAGUGGUACGCGAGCUGGGUUUAGAACGUCGUGAGACAGUUCGGUCCCUAUCUGCCGUGGGCGCUGGAGAACUGAGGGGGGCUGCUCCUAGUACGAGAGGACCGGAGUGGACGCAUCACUGGUGUUCGGGUUGUCAUGCCAAUGGCACUGCCCGGUAGCUAAAUGCGGAAGAGAUAAGUGCUGAAAGCAUCUAAGCACGAAACUUGCCCCGAGAUGAGUUCUCCCUGAGACUUAGAGUCUCCUGAAGGAACGUUGAAGACGACGACGUUGAUAGGCCGGGUGUGUAAGCGCAGCGAUGCGUUGAGCUAACCGGUACUAAUGAACCGUGAGGCUUAACCUUACAACGCCGAAGCUGUU
Molecule: ribosomal RNA, 445 nt
Filed under: Escherichia coli
Lineage: Bacteria; Pseudomonadati; Pseudomonadota; Gammaproteobacteria; Enterobacterales; Enterobacteriaceae
Description: bacterial LSU rRNA
Rfam family: Bacterial large subunit ribosomal RNA
Source: RNAcentral